ACUCCUACGGGAGGCAGCAGUGGGGAAUAUUGCACAAUGGGCGCAAGCCUGAUGCAGCCAUGCCGCGUGUAUGAAGAAGGCCUUCGGGUUGUAAAGUACUUUCAGCAGUGAGGAAGGUGGAGUCGUUAAUAGCGGCCUCAUUUGACGUUAGCUGCAGAAGAAGCACCGGCUAACUCCGUGCCAGCAGCCGCGGUAAUACGGAGGGUGCGAGCGUUAAUCGGAAUUACUGGGCGUAAAGCGCAUGCAGGUGGUUUGUUAAGUCAGAUGUGAAAGCCCGGGGCUCAACCUCGGAAUUGCAUUUGAAACUGGCAGACUAGAGUACUGUAGAGGGGGGUAGAAUUUCAGGUGUAGCGGUGAAAUGCGUAGAGAUCUGAAGGAAUACCGGUGGCGAAGGCGGCCCCCUGGACAGAUACCUGACACUCAGAUGCGAAAGCGUGGGGAGCGAAACAGGAUUAGAUACCCUGGUAGGAUAGCG
Molecule: ribosomal RNA, 475 nt
Filed under: uncultured bacterium
Lineage: Bacteria
Description: bacterial SSU rRNA
Rfam family: Bacterial small subunit ribosomal RNA
Source: RNAcentral